This 165-nucleotide ribosomal RNA is filed under the name Capnodium coffeae. RNAcentral describes it as "partial large subunit ribosomal RNA". It matches the Rfam family "Eukaryotic large subunit ribosomal RNA", at positions 99 to 261 of the family's 3401-position model. Lineage: Eukaryota; Fungi; Ascomycota; Dothideomycetes; Capnodiales; Capnodiaceae. The record is from RNAcentral.
CGGCAAAAGCUCAGAUUUGAAAUCUGGCGUCUUCGGCGUCCGAGUUGUAAUCUGUAGAGGAUGCCAUUGGGUAGCCACCGGUCUAAGUCCCCUGGAACGGGGCGUCACAGAGGGUGAGAAUCCCGUAUGUGACCGGAAGGGCACCCUCCACAUGGCUCCUUCGAC